Daphnia pulex (common water flea) is the source of this 485-nucleotide long non-coding RNA. RefSeq lists it as uncharacterized. The record is from RefSeq and is a predicted model, not a curated record. NCBI's taxonomy places the organism in Eukaryota, Metazoa, Arthropoda, Branchiopoda, Diplostraca, Daphniidae. The transcript has 3 exons.
UUCGUUCUGAUAUGAAAGUUCACGUUGUACCCGCUAUUCUUACACGUCAAGUCAUAAAGGUCCACAAGUUUCUGAAUCAAUUCUUAAUACAAUUGUUGACUCAUUCCAGACUGUACGCGCUCAACAUUUUCGCUUAAAAAACGUUCAGAACUAAAAGAGAAAAUUGAAAAAUGAAACUGACCGUUUGUUGCGUCCUCGUCGCUUUCAUGUCGGUCAUGUUGGUCUCGGUGCAAGCCAAUUCCAUCGCAGUCCGAAGCAUCGAGGGCCGUGCGGAAGUGGUUACGGUGGCGACGACAACGACAACUCGUGACUGGGGCCAAGUCUGCGCUGAUUUGUGCAAGACGGGCGACGGAGGAGUAUUGUGUAAUUGCGAAUUAGUUCCGGUCCGACGUCGCUGAAUCAAAGAGAAAAAUCACAUGUUAUCUUGAAACGAAUUACACCAAAUUUUGUAUCCAGCCAAUAAACUCCCUUGUUUAUAAAACAUC